GCCGGGCAUGGUGGCUCAUGCCUGUAAUCUCAGCAGUUUGGGAGGCCGAGGCAGGUGGAUCACCUGAGGUCAGGAGUUCGAGACUAGCCUGGCCAACAAGGUGAAACCCUGUCUCUA
Molecule: unclassified non-coding RNA, 117 nt
Organism: Callithrix jacchus (white-tufted-ear marmoset)
Lineage: Eukaryota; Metazoa; Chordata; Mammalia; Primates; Cebidae
Rfam family: Metazoan signal recognition particle RNA
About the family: The signal recognition particle (SRP) is a universally conserved ribonucleoprotein. It is involved in the co-translational targeting of proteins to membranes. The eukaryotic SRP consists of a 300-nucleotide 7S RNA and six proteins: SRPs 72, 68, 54, 19, 14, and 9.
Source: Ensembl